CCCGCUGAACUUAAGCAUAUCAAUAAGCGGAGGAAAAGAAACCAACAGGGAUUGCCUCAGUAACGGCGAGUGAAGCGGCAACAGCUCAAAUUUGAAAUCUGGCCCCUUCGGGGUCCGAGUUGUAAUUUGGAGAGGAUGCUUCGGGUGUGGCCCCGGUCUAAGUUCCUUGGAACAGGACGUCACAGAGGGUGAGAAUCCCGUACGUGCCCGGUGGCCGCCCCCGUGUGAAGCUCCUUCGACGAGUCGAGUUGUUUGGGAAUGCAGCUCAAAAUGGGUGGUAAAUUUCAUCUAAAGCUAAAUAUUGGCCAGAGACCGAUAGCGCACAAGUAGAGUGAUCGAAAGAUGAAAAGCACUUUGGAAAGAGAGUUAAACAGUACGUGAAAUUGUUGAAAGGGAAGCGCUUGCAACCAGACUUGCACUUGGUCGAUCAUCCGAGGUUCUCCCCGGUGCACUCGAUCUCGUUCAGGCCAGCAUCGGUUCAGGUGGUGGGAUAAAGGCCUUGGGAAUGUAGCUUCUUUCGGGGAGUGUUAUAGCCCUCGGUGCAAUGCCGCCUACCUGGACCGAGGACCGCGCUUCGGCUAGGAUGCUGGCGUAAUGGUUGUAAGCGACCCGUCUUGAAACACGG
RNAcentral lists this ribosomal RNA (625 nucleotides) under uncultured fungus. RNAcentral's name for it is "eukaryotic LSU rRNA". It matches the Rfam family "Eukaryotic large subunit ribosomal RNA", at positions 24 to 664 of the family's 3401-position model. The record is from RNAcentral. Lineage: Eukaryota; Fungi.